UACGAAGGGGGCUAGCGUUGCUCGGAAUCACUGGGCGUAAAGGGUGCGUAGGCGGGUCUUUUAAGUCAGGGGUGAAAUCCUGGAGCUCAACUCCAGAACUGCCUUUGAUACUGAAGAUCUUGAGUUCGGGAGAGGUGAGUGGAACUGCGAGUGUAGAGGUGAAAUUCGUAGAUAUUCGCAAGAACACCAGUGGCGAAGGCGGCUCACUGGCCCGAUACUGACGCUCAUGCACGAAAAGCGUGGGGAGCAAACAGG
Molecule: ribosomal RNA, 255 nt
Filed under: uncultured bacterium
Lineage: Bacteria
Description: partial 16S ribosomal RNA
Rfam family: Bacterial small subunit ribosomal RNA
Source: RNAcentral